UACACACUGCCCGUCAAGCCAUGGAAGUCGGGAGGACCUGAAGAUAGCCACCGCAAGGAGCUAUUCAAGGUUAUAUCGAUGACUGGGGCU
This 90-nucleotide ribosomal RNA is filed under the name uncultured bacterium. Its description in RNAcentral is "partial 16S ribosomal RNA". It matches the Rfam family "Bacterial small subunit ribosomal RNA", at positions 1384 to 1482 of the family's 1533-position model. The record is from RNAcentral.